Molecule: long non-coding RNA, 3702 nt
Organism: Malaclemys terrapin pileata
Lineage: Eukaryota; Metazoa; Chordata; Testudines; Emydidae
Exons: 3
Source: RefSeq, a predicted model, not a curated record
CAUGGAGGCAGAGGUUAAUGCAAGUGUUUAGCAGAUGCUGUUCGGCAAAAUCUUCUUUUUAAAUAAACUCAUUAAAACAAAAUAUUGGAUCAUUUCAACCCAGCUUGCUAAAUUAAUGUACAUACCACGACAUCUAUUCAUCCGAACCAGUUAUAUGCCUGAAAUCAGUUGCAUGCUUGUUUAACUAGCCUGAUUGGAAUAAUGCAAUAAGUUAGGCUUCUGCAUCCACCGGUUAAGUCUCUUCGAAUUGGAUGAGCAAGAAGAGCAAGAGACGAGGAAAGUCUCUUAAUAAUAUACUGGAACUGAGUACAUGGCAUUUGGUCAUGUAAAGCUCAGCGGAUGAUCUGUGCCAGCAGAGGAAUCCUACGGAGGGCGCAAUUCAGCAGCAGCGUCUUCACCUUCCCUGAGUGCAAUAUGAAGUGUAUAGCUAUCUGCUGUACAAGACACAGCCCAAAGAAGCAAAGCUUCACAAUUGUUUUUCGGUCCCAGUGGUUGUCAUUGUAGUUCAUCAUAUGUGCAGACACGCUAUACGCUCCCCCUUUCUUCUCCCGAACAGCCAGAGAACAGCUCAAACAUUUAUUUUGCAUCUUACUUGUCUUCCCCCCCUCCCCGCGAAAAGAUUCAAAGUGCAUGAUAGCGGUUGGAAAAACAUUUUUCAGCUUUGUCGUGUGUGCUAUUUUUGAAAGCAGUCAGAAUUAAACUAAAUAUUUAAAAAAGAGUAGAUAGCUCAUGGUUUUGUGAAAAAUACUGAUCUUUUCAUAUAUUUAUUUUCUUCUGUUUAUCCAAGACAAAUAAAAGUAAACAGGCCAUAAGGGUUUAAUGAAAUUAAACAGGCCAGAGGAAUAGAACCGCAUGUUUUAUGUUUUAGGAGACUGACCUCCUAAUAAGUGUUGUCCUUUUCUAAACCCCAUUUUACAUUAUUUUUAAAAUAGAGAGGUGAAUUUAACAAACCAUCAAACACACAAAAGCUCCUGGAGGGGGGGGAGUAGAUUAAAAUAUAAAGCAAAGAAUCAAUGGAAUCUAUAGCUUUGAAAACUGAAAUAUAGUAUAAUACCUGGUAAAUUAAAGAAUUUCGCAUACCAAUGUCUUCCCUAAAGAACCAAAUUCAUCCAGCAUUGUCCAAUUCUCAACAUUAGUUUAAUAACUUAAAAAAUAAUAAUCCAUGGUGUACAUUGGCUGGAUAACCUUAUUCUGAAAAGCCUUCCUAGCACGGGUAAUUCUUACUCAAGGAAGUAGUUACCCUUACUCAAUGGGACAAUUGUCUUGAGUAACAACAGCUCAUGUAAGUAAGGAUUUGCAGGAUCGGGCCCAAGAGGUAUCUCUAGCAUCUUUCAUGAAUAAGCUAAUGAAUUUUUCUAUUCUGAUUUUAGAAUGAUCUUGCUUAGAAGAUUGUUGUUCCUAAUUAGGUUCUAAGUAAUCUAAACAAAACACACAAUUUUAGUGUUUAAGUUCUCCUUUACCUUAUCCCUCCAAAAUAUUAUGGAACACAGAAUCUUGGCUUUUUGAAUGCGGAAUUAAAAUCUGGCCCGUGGCUGGAAAUGUUUAGAUCAGGUACCCCCAGCUUCUUCUAACUACAGUACCUGGCUGGGAGCAGAGGAGCAGAAAGAUGGAGCUUUUUUGUGGGUGGUUAAAAACGGAGGCCUUUACAAGCCAACUCUGGUUUGACCCCUUCACCUCAUGGGAGGAGCCAGGGUUCCCCUUAUCCCUGUUUGUGCCCUAACUACCUCACAGCAAGCACUGUCUCCCCGUGAAUCGUUUGAAAAGUUUAGAUGUGUUCAAAUUUAUAGAGUGCAUAAUGUCAUUGACCUGAGACCAAAUAUAUUAGAAAGAGAGAUAAUUCUCAAAUAUAUUUUGAAGUGUCUAAGUACCAAGUGCCCUAUGGAUGGCAAGCUACAUACUACUAAACCUCCAGUUAGAAGUCCAUAAACUAAACUCAACAUAGAAACCCUGCAAUAAUAUGGAGUUUUGAAGGGACGCUGGAGAAAUAUCAUUUGAAGUCAAACCUGUCAAUUCGCGUUAAUGAAAAUAACUCUUGCCACGUUAGUUGCACUCAGUUACACUCAUGCAGCCACAUCACUGAUUUCAACGGGUCUAGCAAAGGGCAGAAUUUGGCCCUGCAAGUCUGCUUUAAUUGCUGCAGAUGGACGUAUAGGAACCCUGGUGUUCGUUACUAUUAUCAGUACUGAAGGGUGCAAAUAUUUAAGGCAUGAUAAUCUGUGCCAUUAAGUAUGUAUUUUAUACAUACGCGUAUAUAAACCCCAACAACAAGAUAGCGUUCACUUUGUAAGUUUAAAUGAUGUGCAAUAAACCCACAAACACACCAAUUUUACCCCUGCAUGUGUGAGUAAUUAUUCAAAGAUUGCUUCUAUUUGGGACGAAGGAUACAGAGUUGUAUUGAUGCCACUUAAAAGAAUUUAAGAAACCCAGUGAUCCCCAGAAGAAUAAUAAAGCCUUCAUAAAAUACUCUAUUGAACAGACAAUAUUUCUUAUUGAGUUUGUGGUGUUCACAUAGUUUCCCCUCGUUUAAUGUUUGCAUUCCUGGGGGAACUGUGUUUUGAAGCUGCUUUUAAAAUCAGUGCUGAUGGGAUUGCUUGGCCGAAAGGAAUUGUUUUGAUCAAUAAAUAUUUUCCUGAUAACAUUAGGUUUACGUGCUUGCGGGAAACAAAGAUUAGCCUGGCAUUACUUUAGUUGUAUGCUAACAAAAAAUAAGCACUUUUAUUGUCAAUAUUAAUGGAGACCCUCAACUUAGGUUUGGUUUUAAGCAGUGUUCAGAGAUAAAAAGCAACCCUAUUUGACCUAAAAAUAUCCCACUUCAGCUUCGACAAUUAACUGUAAUUUUGCCCAAACUGCCACAAUGUUAACGUCGUACUUUCUGUGCCACUCGGUUCAUCUACCUGCUGUAACAUAUUGUGCUAUGACUUGCCCACUAAUUAUUCAAAUACAAAGACUUGUGGUUGAAAGCAGCUGCCAACAGCAAAUGUUGUGUAACACACUCGUUCAGGAGCAUCAGUGUGUUUAGCUGCAACCACCACAAUUCCUAUAUAUGUAUCUACAUGUAAUUGAUCUAGUUGAGUGACGUCCUUUUUGGUAAUUUGGAUACACCAAGUCUCCAGUUAAUGACACAUAAUCAGCCUUUAGGUCACUUGGUCAUUCUCUUAUUACAAACCCCUCCUGCUCUCUCUGAUCUCCUUUCAAACUAAAUUUCACACAAACAAAUAAAGUAAGACAGGGACAAGGGAGAAAUAUUGGAAAACUUUUGAUAGAGCACUAUAAACAUUUGAGAAGAAAAUCUAAAAGAGGAUAGGAAAGAACAUCUUAUCAAAAAGAGAGCAUUGUGUACAAAACUUGAAGAGAAAAAGUUUCUGGCUUAUGUUAGAAAUGACACAAAAUUAAAAUAAAAAUAAUUACUAACAGAAAUGUCAUAACAUAAACACAGAAGGCAGGAGACUUACUGGAAAUGCGCACCAGUAGUGUAAUUUAUUGUUAUAGAUUAUACAACCGAUAUGUGAUUCGAAAAAUGUUUCUUUGACUCACUUUGACCAGCAAAACCUUUUUAUUUUUUACACUUAUUUUAUUAAAGCGAAACUGAACAAACUGAGAAAUAAAGACCAAAAUGUAAUUUACUUGUAAAAAUCUAUAGAAAAAAAAAUGAAACGACUUCAUGGAUAUAGCAUUGUGUUAACGUGAUAAUAAAAAUCAAUA